UUGGGAAUAUUGGACAAUGGAGGAAACUCUGAUCCAGUGACGCCGCGUGAAGGAAGAAGGUCUUCGGAUUGUAAACUUAUUUUAUCAGGGAAGAAACAAAUGACUGUACCUGAAGAAGAAGGACCGGCAAACUACGUGCCAGCAGCCGCGGUAAUACGUAGGGUCCGAGCGUUAUCCGGAUUUACUGGGUAUAAAGGGCGAGUAGACGGUUUAGCAAGUCAGAUGUGAAAACUUGGAGCUCAACUCCAAGCCUGCAUCUGAAACUGUUAGACUAGAGUGCAGGAGAGGUAAGCGGAAUUCCUAGUGUAGCGGUGAAAUGCGUAGAUAUUAGGAGGAACACCAGUGGCGAAGGCGGCUUACUGGACUGUAACUGACGUUGAGGAGCGAAAGUGUGGGGAGCAAACA
RNAcentral lists this ribosomal RNA (405 nucleotides) under uncultured bacterium. Its description in RNAcentral is "bacterial SSU rRNA". It matches the Rfam family "Bacterial small subunit ribosomal RNA", at positions 355 to 774 of the family's 1533-position model. The record is from RNAcentral.